Molecule: ribosomal RNA, 498 nt
Filed under: uncultured bacterium
Lineage: Bacteria
Description: partial 16S ribosomal RNA
Rfam family: Bacterial small subunit ribosomal RNA
Source: RNAcentral
GACGAACGCUGGCGGCGUGCCUAAUACAUGCAAGUCGAACGAGAGCAACCGGUGCUUGCACUGGUCAAUCUAGUGGCGAACGGGUGAGUAACACGUGGGUAACCUGCCCAUCAGAGGGGGAUAACAUCCGGAAACGGAUGCUAAAACCGCAUAGGUCUUCGAACCGCAUGGUUUGAAGAGGAAAAGAGGCGCAAGCUUCUGCUGAUGGAUGGAACCGCGGUGCAUUAGCUAGUUGGUGAGGUAACGGCUCACCAAGGCCGUGAUGCAUAGCCGACCUGAGAGGGUGAUCGGCCACAUUGGGACUGAGACACGGCCCAAACUCCUACGGGAGGCAGCAGUAGGGAAUCUUCCGCAAUGGACGCAAGUCUGACGGAGCAACGCCGCGUGAGUGAAGAAGGUUUUCGGAUCGUAAAACUCUGUUGUUAGAGAAGAGCAAGUGCUAGAGUAACUGUUAGCGCCUUGACGGUAUCUAACCAGAAAGCCACGGCUAACUACGUG